RNAcentral lists this ribosomal RNA (1439 nucleotides) under uncultured organism. Its description in RNAcentral is "SSU rRNA". It matches the Rfam family "Bacterial small subunit ribosomal RNA". The record is from RNAcentral.
CUACAGGCUUAACACAUGCAAGUCGAGGGGCAUCAGGAAGAAUUCUUGCUUUCUUUGCUGGCGACCGGCGCACGGGUGAGUAACACGUAUCCAACCUGCCCUUUACUCGGGGAUAGCCUUUCGAAAGAAAGAUUAAUACCCGAUAGCAUAAUGAUUCCGCAUGGUUUCAUUAUUAAAGGAUUCCGGUAAAGGAUGGGGAUGCGUUCCAUUAGGUUGUUGGUGAGGUAACGGCCCACCAAGCCUUCGAUGGAUAGGGGUUCUGAGAGGAAGGUCCCCCACAUUGGAACUGAGACACGGUCCAAACUCCUACGGGAGGCAGCAGUGAGGAAUAUUGGUCAAUGGGCGCUAGCCUGAACCAGCCAAGUAGCGUGAAGGAUGAAGGCUCUAUGGGUCGUAAACUUCUUUUAUAUAAGAAUAAAGUGCAGUAUGUAUACUGUUUUGUAUGUAUUAUAUGAAUAAGGAUCGGCUAACUCCGUGCCAGCAGCCGCGGUAAUACGGAGGAUCCGAGCGUUAUCCGGAUUUAUUGGGUUUAAAGGGAGCGUAGGUGGACUGGUAAGUCAGUUGUGAAAGUUUGCGGCUCAACCGUAAAAUUGCAGUUGAUACUGUCAGUCUUGAGUACAGUAGAGGUGGGCGGAAUUCGUGGUGUAGCGGUGAAAUGCUUAGAUAUCACGAAGAACUCCGAUUGCGAAGGCAGCUCACUGGACUGCAACUGACACUGAUGCUCGAAAGUGUGGGUAUCAAACAGGAUUAGAUACCCUGGUAGUCCACACAGUAAACGAUGAAUACUCGCUGUUUGCGAUAUACAGUAAGCGGCCAAGCGAAAGCAUUAAGUAUUCCACCUGGGGAGUACGCCGGCAACGGUGAAACUCAAAGGAAUUGACGGGGGCCCGCACAAGCGGAGGAACAUGUGGUUUAAUUCGAUGAUACGCGAGGAACCUUACCCGGGCUUAAAUUGCAGUGGAAUGAUGUGGAAACAUGUCAGUGAGCAAUCACCGCUGUGAAGGUGCUGCAUGGUUGUCGUCAGCUCGUGCCGUGAGGUGUCGGCUUAAGUGCCAUAACGAGCGCAACCCUUAUCUUUAGUUACUAACAGGUUAUGCUGAGGACUCUAGAGAGGCUGCCGUCGUAAGAUGUGAGGAAGGUGGGGAUGACGUCAAAUCAGCACGGCCCUUACGUCCGGGGCUACACACGUGUUACAAUGGGGGGGUACAGAAGGCAGCUAGCGGGUGACCGUAUGCUAAUCCCAAAAUCCUCUCUCAGUUCGGAUCGAAGUCUGCAACCCGACUUCGUGAAGCUGGAUUCGCUAGUAAUCGCGCAUCAGCCACGGCGCGGUGAAUACGUUCCCGGGCCUUGUACACACCGCCCGUCAAGCCAUGGGAGCCGGGGGUACCUGAAGUACGUAACCGCAAGGAUCGUCCUAGGGUAAAACUGGUGACUGGGGC